CGUCAAAUCAUCAUGCCCCUUAUGUCCUGGGCUACACACGUACUACAAUGGCUGUUAACAAAAGGAAGCGAAGCGGCGACGCGGAGCAAAUCCCCAAAUGCAGCCUCAGUUCAGAUUGCAGGCUGAAACUCGCCUGUAUGAAGUAGGAAUUGCUAGUAAUCGCGAAUCAGCAUGUCGCGGUGAAUACGUUCCCGGGCCUU
Molecule: ribosomal RNA, 200 nt
Filed under: uncultured prokaryote
Description: partial 16S ribosomal RNA
Rfam family: Bacterial small subunit ribosomal RNA
Source: RNAcentral